CCCAUAGAUUCAAUUCUAUCUGGUAAUAAGAUAUACAAUGAUCUCUAUCAUUGUAUCAUUGAAACUCUUUUCAAUAGGUCGGAACAAUUUCACUCUAACUCAGCAAGAAUCGUCAAUCCAGAACAAUCUUAGUGAGCUCUCACAAUCCACCAGUGACACCUAAUAAUAUGUAGUGGCAAUCCAGUAGAUUAGAAAUAAAUCUCUAG
RNAcentral lists this long non-coding RNA (206 nucleotides) under Elaeis guineensis (African oil palm). RNAcentral's name for it is "long non-coding RNA (EGUI_LNC061895)". The record is from RNAcentral. Lineage: Eukaryota; Viridiplantae; Streptophyta; Magnoliopsida; Arecales; Arecaceae.